CAGCAGCCGCGGGAAUACAGAGGGUGCGAGCGUUAAUCGGAUUUACCGGGCGUAAAGCGUGCGUAGGCGGCUUUUUAAGUCGGAUGUGAAAUCCCUGAGCUUAACUUAGGAAUUGCAUUCGAUACUGGGAAGCUAGAGUAUGGGAGAGGAUGGUAGAAUUCCAGGUGUAGCGGUGAAAUGCGUAGAGAUCUGGAGGAAUACCGAUGGCGAAGGCAGCCAUCUGGCCUAAUACUGACGCUGAGGUACGAAAGCAUGGGGAGCAAACAGGAUUAGAUACCCCAGUAGUCCCUGUCUCUUAUAC
Molecule: ribosomal RNA, 301 nt
Filed under: uncultured bacterium
Lineage: Bacteria
Description: partial 16S ribosomal RNA
Rfam family: Bacterial small subunit ribosomal RNA
Source: RNAcentral